AUGGUGCCAAAGUUACAGUGGCAGGUCCAAGGGCACCAGUUCAGCACAACUAUGUGGGUUCUGGACCUCGGGGUUUAUGGCACAGUGCUUGGUGUCGAUUGGCUAGCGCAGCACAGCCCAAUGAAGUGUGACUGGCAACAGAAAACAGUGCAGUUUGAACGAGAGGGACAAACAGUGCACCUGACCGGCGUCCAAUCGGACGAGCCACCAACGCUAACUGCCCUUGAUGCAGCGACUCUCUGGCAGAUGCAUGACGCUAAUGAGAUUUGGGGUGCUGCCCUCUUGGAAAUUCAGGUGAACCCAGCUUCAGACUCUGACGGAAGACAACCACCACCCAUGGUGAUUCAGAAAGUACUGACGGAGUUCAAUGACGUAUUUGCAGAACCAACUGAACUUCCUCCCCAUCGACAAUAUGAUCAUGCGAUCACACUAGAACCGGGUGCAACACCAAUCAACUGCAGGCCUUAUCGCUACUCACCAUUGCAGAAGGACGAGAUUGAACGGAGGCCUCAAGAGAUGCUGCGUACGGGUGUCAUCACUCACAACAUGAGCCCCUAUGCAGCACCCGUCCUUCUCGUCAAGAAAAAGGACGACACAUGGCGUUUCUGUGUCGACUACCGACGUCUCAACGCGGUGACAAUCAAGAACAAGUUCCCACUACCUAUCAUUGAUGAGCUGUUGGACGAACUGGCUGGUGUCGCUUUCUUCUCCAAGAUAGAUUUGUGCGCCGGUUACCAUCAGAUUCGUAUGCGGGAGAGCGACGAGGAGAAAACAGCUUUCAAGACACAUCACAGUCACUUCCAGUUCCGCGUCAUGCCAUUUGGAGUCACCAACGGGCCACCAACCUUCCAAUGUGUGAUUAACUCUAUCUUCGCGGAACCAAAUCGUAAGUUUGUCAUCAGUUUUCUGGAUGACAUAUUGGUUUUCAGCCAAUCCUUA
This 939-nucleotide ribosomal RNA is filed under the name Triticum aestivum (bread wheat). RNAcentral describes it as "partial small subunit ribosomal RNA". The record is from RNAcentral. Lineage: Eukaryota; Viridiplantae; Streptophyta; Magnoliopsida; Poales; Poaceae.